Molecule: unclassified non-coding RNA, 336 nt
Filed under: soil metagenome
Description: partial contains 5.8S ribosomal RNA, internal transcribed spacer 2, and large subunit ribosomal RNA
Rfam family: 5.8S ribosomal RNA (bases 1-120)
Source: RNAcentral
GAUGAAGAACGUAGCGAUAUGCGAUAAGUAGUGUGAAUUGCAGAAUUCAGUGAAUCAUCGAAUCUUUGAACGCACAUUGCGCCCCUUGGUAUUCCAUGGGGCAUGCCUGUUCGAGCGUCAUUUGUACCUUCAAGCUUUGCUUGGUGUUGGGUGUUUGUCUCGCCUUUGCGUGUAGACUCGCCUUAAAAUAAUUGGCAGCCGGCGUAUUGAUUUCGGAGCGCAGUACAUCUCGCGCUUUGCACUCAUAACGACAGCGUCCAAAAGUACAUUUUACACUCUUGACCUCGGAUCAGGUAGGGAUACCCGCUGAACUUAAGCAUAUCAAUAAGCGGAGGA